This 672-nucleotide ribosomal RNA is filed under the name uncultured Alphaproteobacteria bacterium. RNAcentral describes it as "bacterial SSU rRNA". It matches the Rfam family "Bacterial small subunit ribosomal RNA", at positions 97 to 804 of the family's 1533-position model. The record is from RNAcentral. Lineage: Bacteria; Pseudomonadati; Pseudomonadota; Alphaproteobacteria.
GGCAGACGGGUGAGUAACAUGUGGGAAUCUGCCUUGUGGUUCAGGACAACAUUGGGAAACCGAUGCUAAUACUGGAUAAGCCCUUACGGGGAAAGUUUUAAUGCCAUAAGAUGAGCCCGCAUUUGAUUAGUUAGUUGGUGAGGUAAUGGCUCACCAAGACAAUGAUCAAUAGCUGAUCUGAGAGGAUGAUCAGCCACACUGGGACUGAGACACGGCCCAGACUCCUACGGGAGGCAGCAGUGGGGAAUCUUGCACAAUGGAGGAAACUCUGAUGCAGCGAUGCCGCGUGAGUGAAGAAGGCCUUUGGGUUGUAAAGCUCUUUUGUAGGGGAAGAUAAUGACUGUACCCUAAGAAUAAGGUCCGGCUAACUUCGUGCCAGCAGCCGCGGUAAUACGAAGGGACCUAGCGUAGUUCGGAAUUACUGGGCGUAAAGCGCGCGUAGGCCGUUGAGUUAGUUAAUUGUGAAAUCCCAAAGCUUAACUUUGGAACUGCAAUUAAAACUGCUCGACUAGAGUUUGAUAGAGGAAAGCGGAAUACAUAGUGUAGAGGUGAAAUUCGUAGAUAUUAUGUAGAACACCANUUGCGAAGGCGGCUUUCUGGAUCAACACUGACGCUGAGGCGCGAAAGUAUGGGUAGCAAAGAGGAUUAGAUACCCUCGUAGUCCAUACCAUA